GCCUUUUUCACUUCAUCUUCAUGCUGUACUCCCUCACUCACACAUUCUUUUAUGCUCUGUUGUAAGGCAGAAACUGAGAGUUUGCAUGAUGGUAUUUUCUCAGACGCUGAAUCUGAUGUGUACAGAUGAACUCAGGAGCCUACUAGAGUUGCCAAGGAACUUGUGCUUGAACUGAAGACCAGAAACGCAAAGAAAAUCAGUCAAACCAGUCCUAAAGAAAUGAGGAAUGAACAUGGACUUCUUGUGCCCCAAAAGAAAAGACAGAAAGCUCCUAAAAUGAGCAAAUAAGCUGUGCAUCAUCUCUGUGAUUUGGGAAGGAAAUGAGUGAAUAU
Molecule: long non-coding RNA, 332 nt
Organism: Carassius gibelio (silver crucian carp)
Lineage: Eukaryota; Metazoa; Chordata; Actinopteri; Cypriniformes; Cyprinidae
Exons: 3
Source: RefSeq, a predicted model, not a curated record